RNAcentral lists this long non-coding RNA (358 nucleotides) under Elaeis guineensis (African oil palm). Its description in RNAcentral is "long non-coding RNA (EGUI_LNC042615)". The record is from RNAcentral. Lineage: Eukaryota; Viridiplantae; Streptophyta; Magnoliopsida; Arecales; Arecaceae.
GAGUUAUUUAUGAGUUAGUUAUGUAAAUUCAUGUCUUAAAUUUUUAACUCUUGAAAAUAUGAAUUAACAUUCCUACUAACUCAAAGGAUGUAUCACAGACAUAAUGUAUACAAUGUGAUAGUAGAAUAAUCUUUUUAUUCAUUUAUAGUCAAAAUUAUAAAUUUGCCCUUAUAUUUGUACAGGAAUAUGUCAGCCAAUCUGACAUCUAGGGCACACAUCUAACACAUACCUGGAGAACCUAAAGAAAUAUUGAUCUGUCUUUGGAAGGUAUGUCAAAUUGCUCAAAUCUAAUCUUACAGUUUUCUCUUUUUCAUUAAACUCCAGUACAUAUUACACAUUUUAGUAUAGGAUCUAAGGA